RNAcentral lists this ribosomal RNA (201 nucleotides) under uncultured bacterium. RNAcentral describes it as "partial 16S ribosomal RNA". It matches the Rfam family "Bacterial small subunit ribosomal RNA", at positions 524 to 725 of the family's 1533-position model. The record is from RNAcentral.
UACGGAGGGUGCGAGCGUUGUCCGGAAUCACUGGGCGUAAAGGGCGCGUAGGCGGCUCGUGAAGUCAGUGGUGAAAGCCCAGGCUCAACUCUGGGUCGGCCACUGAUACUCGCGAGCUCGAGUUUGGUAGAGGCAGAUGGAAUUCCGGGUGUAGCGGUGGAAUGCGUAGAGAUCCGGAAGAACACCGGUGGCGAAGGCGGU